RNAcentral lists this ribosomal RNA (518 nucleotides) under uncultured Geomyces. Its description in RNAcentral is "eukaryotic LSU rRNA". It matches the Rfam family "Eukaryotic large subunit ribosomal RNA", at positions 83 to 607 of the family's 3401-position model. The record is from RNAcentral. Lineage: Eukaryota; Fungi; Ascomycota; Leotiomycetes; Myxotrichaceae.
GUAACGGCGAGUGAAGCGGUAACAGCUCAAAUUUGAAAUCUGGCCUCACGGUCCGAGUUGUAAUUUGUAGAGGAUGCUUCGAGCAUGGUCUGGCCUAAGUUCCUUGGAACAGGACGUCAUAGAGGGUGAGAAUCCCGUAUGCGGCCAGGUGCCUACGCUCAUGUGAAGCUCCUUCGACGAGUCGAGUUGUUUGGGAAUGCAGCUCAAAAUGGGUGGUAAAUUUCAUCUAAAGCUAAAUAUUGGCCAGAGACCGAUAGCGCACAAGUAGAGUGAUCGAAAGAUGAAAAGCACUUUGGAAAGAGAGUUAAACAGUACGUGAAAUUGUUGAAAGGGAAGCGCUUGCAACCAGACUUGCGCGCGGCCGAUCAUCCGGUGUUCUCACCGGUGCACUCGGCCGUGCUCAGGCCAGCAUCGGUUUUGGCGGCUGGAUAAAGGCCCUAGGAAUGUAGCUCCUCUCGGGGAGUGUUAUAGCCUAGGGUGCAAUGCAGCCUGCUGGGACCGAGGACCGCGCUUCGGCU